AUACAGGGGGUGCGAGCGUUAAUCGGAAUUACUGGGCGUAAAGAGUACGUAGGCGGUUGAUUAAGUCAGAUGUGAAAGCCCCGGGCUCAACCUGGGAACUGCAUUUGAAACUGAGUGACUAGAGUUUAAGAGAGGGGAGUAGAAUUCCGGGUGUAGCGGUGAAAUGCGUUGAGAUCCGGAGGAAUACCAGUGGCGAAGGCGGCUCCCUGGCUUAAAACUGACGCUGAGGUACGAAAGCGUGGGUAGCAAACAGGAUUAGAAACCCCAGUAGUCC
This 274-nucleotide ribosomal RNA is filed under the name uncultured bacterium. RNAcentral's name for it is "partial 16S ribosomal RNA". It matches the Rfam family "Bacterial small subunit ribosomal RNA", at positions 523 to 796 of the family's 1533-position model. The record is from RNAcentral.